AAGAAAUAUAUUAUUUUAAUUUACAAUUUUUUUCUCAAAAUUUAAUCCUCAUUUGAAUUAACCAAAUGCAAUAAACUAAAACAAUUACAAGAUUCUAGAACGCAAUGGACGGCUGAGAUGACAUCUUUAUAACAACUCAAUUGACGACUGAGAUGAGAUCUUGAUAUGAACACAAUGGACGGCUGAGAUGACAUCUUUAUAACAACUCAAUUGACGGCUGCGAUGACAUCUUGAUAAGAACACAAUGGACAGCUGAGAUGACAUCUUUAUAACAACUCAAUUGACGGCUGAGAUGAGAUCUUGUAAAAACACGAUGGACGGCUGCAAUCAAUUGUUCGUCGUCUUCUUCGAGCCUUUCUCCUCCUAAACCCCUCCCUAAAAGGCUAAACCCCUAAAUUCAAAUCCGUCAAUGUUUCUCUCUAAAACCGUAAUCGGACGAUCGUUCUCAGACAUCACCCUUCGCUUCUUCUUCAGAUUCACUUCUUGGCGAUAAAGCUUUAACCUUUCUCAGACAUCACCCUCACCUCUGCAAAUUUCACUGCAGAAACAGCUUCGAAUCUUCUCUUCAAAUCUCAGAACGAUCAAGAAUUGGUUCUAAAGUUCCUAAAUUGGGCAAAACCACAUCGAUUAUCACUCUCCGUUGCAAAUGCAUCAUUCUCCACAUCCUCACCAAAUUCAAACUCUACAAAACAGCUCAAUCCCUCACGGAAGAUGUCGCGGCCAAGACCCUAGACGACGAAGAUGCUUCCCUCGUCUUCAGAUCGCUAAAGGAGUCUUACGAUUUGUGCAAUUCCACUUCCUCUGUUUUCGAUUUGAGAAGGGAGGAUGAAGGAGACAAGUUUUGUACUUACGGAGAUGAAUGAGAAAGGAUAUUCGCUUGAUGAAGUCACUUGAAAUACGCUUAUUAAAGGUCAUUGUAAAGAAGGUAACUUUCAUCAAGCUCUUGUGAUGCAUGCAGAGAUGUUGAGACAUGGGUUGUCACCUAGUGUUAUCACUUACUUAUACUUCACUAAUACAUAGUAUGAGUAAGGCUGGGAAUAUGAACCUGGAUACCGAAAGGCUGGGAAAUAGUAUGUGUAAGGCUGGAAAUUGAAAGUGAAACAAAGGUUAGGAUGUGAGAAUUACAACAGAAAUACAAACUCUUGCUUUUCUCUGUUUGUAAAAAAUGCAACCUUGUUAUGUUACAUGAAUACAAAGUUCUUAAGUCGUUUCUCAUCAUAGGGAUUAAAGGUUACAUGAAUACAAAUUCUUCAAGAAUCUCCUACCCCGAGAAAAUCGAUAAAUUCCGGGGUUUUUCUGAUCAUUACAUCUGCUGCUUCUGGUGAUGAUGAUGGUUGGGAGAUGGAGAGCUCUGUGGAUAGUGCCAAGGAACCACUUGCCGGGAAGAUAGGGAAGUGAUGGUGAUGACCAGAGAGUUGCACUGGCAUGCGAGGAUGAGGAUAGAGUGAAAGGUGUCUUGUCAAUCGUUGGAUCGAGCUGGUUAAACCACCUAAAUCUGCAACUCUUACCUGUUCUUGCUUCCAUCUUCUCUGCAAUGAGAUCCCAAUUCUCAAGACCGUAAGCCUCCACGAGCUCUAUGAGUUUGAGAUCUUGUGACUGUGUCCAGUGUCCUUUACUACCACGAUAUGGACUCUUUCUCUCCUCUUGUUGUGUCUCUCUCAAUGGUAAUGCAUUGUUUGCUCCAACCCCAUUAACUGGUCUCUGUAAUAAACAUCAUAAGUGUAUCUUAUUUAAAACGAGUCUCCUCCAAAACUAAUAAGAGAGAAUUGAAAAAAAAAUACACACACACAUAUGUUAAGAACAGUUUCAGUCUUUUGACUUGUUUAUAAUAUCAAUUCAAAAGAUGUU
This is a long non-coding RNA of Capsella rubella, 1848 nucleotides long. RefSeq lists it as uncharacterized. The record is from RefSeq and is a predicted model, not a curated record. The transcript is spliced from 3 exons. NCBI's taxonomy places the organism in Eukaryota, Viridiplantae, Streptophyta, Magnoliopsida, Brassicales, Brassicaceae.